CGGUUCCCAGCGGCGGACGGGUGAGUAACACGUGGGUAACCUACCUCAUAGUGGGGAAUAGCCUUUCGAAAGGAAGAUUAAUACCGCAUAAUACUCGAGAAUCGCAUGAUUCUUGAGCCAAAGGAUUUAUUCGCUAUGAGAUGGACCCGCGGCGCAUUAGCUUGUUGGUGAGGUAACGGCUCACCAAGGCUUCGAUGCGUAGCCGACCUGAGAGGGUGAUCGGCCACAUUGGAACUGAGACACGGUCCAGACUC
RNAcentral lists this ribosomal RNA (254 nucleotides) under Clostridium sp. NJ4. Its description in RNAcentral is "partial 16S ribosomal RNA". It matches the Rfam family "Bacterial small subunit ribosomal RNA", at positions 86 to 338 of the family's 1533-position model. The record is from RNAcentral. Lineage: Bacteria; Bacillati; Bacillota; Clostridia; Eubacteriales; Clostridiaceae.